AUGUGUUGCUGCAUCCUGAGAACCACUAAAUCUUCUACUCUUGCUCCCUCUCUCUUCUCCAGAUCUCCUCUCACUCUUUCUCCAGAUAUCCUCCUCUCUCUCUCUCUCUCUCUCUCUCUUCCACAGAUCUCCUCCUCUCUCUCUCUCGCUCUUCCACAUAUCUCCUCUCUCUCUCUCUCUCUCGCUCUUCUAUGGAUCUCCUCUCUCUCUCUCUUCUCCAGAUCUCCCCUCUCUCUCUCUCUCUCUCUCUCUCUCUCUCUCUCUCUCUCUCGCUCCUACAGAUCUCUUCCCUCACUCGCUCUCUCUCUUCUAGAUCUCCUCCUCUCUCUCCUCCAGAUCUCCUCCUCGCGCUCUCCUCCAGAUCUCUUCCCUCACUCGCUCUCUCUUCUAGAUCUCCUCCUCUCUCUCUUCCAGAUCUCCUCGCGCUCUCUCUCUCCUCCAGAUAUUCUACUCUCUCUCUCCACCAAUCUCCUUCUCUCUCUCCUCCAGAUCUCUCGCUCUCUCUCUCUCCUCCAGAUCUCCUACUCACUCUCUCCUCCAGCUCUCUUUCCCUGCUCUCUCUCUUCUACACUCUCCUUCUCGCUCUCCCUCUCCUCCAGAUAUUCUCCUCUCUCUUUCAGAUCUCCUCCUCCAGAUCUUCUCCUCUCCUGUAGAUCUCCUCCUCUCUCUCUCUCCUCCAGAUCUCCUCCUCGCUCUUUCUCCUCCAGAUCUCGCUCCUCCUCGCUCUCUCCUCCAGAUUUCCUCCCUUGCCAUCUCACUCCUCCAGAUAUUCGCCUCUCUCUCUCCGCCGGAUAUCGUCCCUCACUCUCUCUCCUCCAAAUUUCCUCCCUCGCCCUCUCUCCUCUGGAUCUCCUCCUCACUCUCCUCCCUUGCUAUCUCUCUCCUCCAGAUAUUCUCCUCUCUCUCCUCCAGAUCUCCUCCCUCGCUCUCUCUCUCUCCUCCAGAUUUCCUCCCUUGCCAUCUCUCUCCUCCAGAUAUUCUCCUCUCUCUCUCCUCCAGAUCACGUCCUCGCUUUCUCUCCUCCAGAUCUCCUCUCUCCUCUCUCGCUAUCUCGCUCCUCCAGAUAUGCUCUCUCUCUCCUCCAGAUCUCCUCCCGCGCCCUCUGUCUCCUCCAGAUCUCUUCCUAGCUCCCUCUCCUUCAGAUCUCCUCCUCACUCUCCUCCCUCGCUAUCUCUCUCCUCCAGAUAUUAUCCUCUCUCUCUCCUCCAGAUCUUCUUCCUUGCUCUCUCUCUCUCCUUCAGAUCUCCUCCUCGCUCUCUCUCGCCUCCUCGCUCUCUCUCGCCUCCUCGCUCUCUCUCCUCCAGAUCUCCUCACUCACCAUCUCUCCUCCAGAUCUCCCUCGCUCUCUCUCUCCUCCCUCAGUCUCUCUCCUCCCUGCUCUCUCUCCUCCCUCGCCAUCUCCCCUCCAGAUAUUGUCCUCCAGAUCUCCUCCCUCGCCAUCUCUCCUCCAGAUAUUCUCCUCUCUCCUCCAGAUCUCCUCCCUCGCUCUCUCUCUCCUCCAGAUAUUCUCCUCGCACUCUCGCUCCUCCAGAUAUUUCCCCCUUUGCUCCAGAUCUCCUCUCUCUCUCCUCCAGAUCUCCUCUUGUCCCUCUCCUCCAGAUCUCCUCCUCUCCCUCUCUCUCGCUCAUCCAGAUCUCCUCCUCUCCCUCUCUAUCGCUCCUCCUCCUCUCUCGCUCUCUCCUCCAGAUCUCUUCCUCUCCCUCUCUCCUCCAGAUCUCCUCCUCCUCUCUCUCGCUGUCUUCCUCUCCUUGUCUCUCUCUCCCCUCCAGAUCUCCUCCUCUCUCUUGCUCUCUCCUCCAGAUCUCCUCCUCUGUCGCUUUCGCCUCCAGAAAUCCUCCUCUCACUAUUCUCCACCAGCUCUCCUCCUCUCGCUAUUCUCCUCCAGCUCUCCUCCUCUCACUAUUCUCCUCCAGAACUCCUCCCUCGCUCUCUCUUUCCUCCAGAUAUUCUCCUCGCUCUCUCUCUCCUCCAGAUAUUUUCCUCUCUUUCCUCCAGAUCUCCUCUCUCCCCUCCAGAUCUCUCCCUCCUCCAGAUCUCCUCCUCUCCCUCUCUCUCCUCCUCUCCCUCUCUCCUCCAGAUCUCCUCCUCUCUCUUGCUCUCUCCUCCAGAUCUUCUCCUCUGUCGCUUUCGCCUCCAGACCUCCUCCUCUCACUAUUCUCCACCAGCUCUCCUCCUCUCGCUAUUCUCCUCCAGAUCUCCUCCUCUCACUAUUCUCCUCCAGAACUCCUCCCUCGCUCUCUCUUUCCUCCAGAUAUUCUCCUCGCUCUCUCUCUCCUCCAGAUAUUUUCCUCUCUCUCUUCCAGAUCUCCUCGCGCUCUCUCUCUCCUCCAGAUAUUCUACUCUCUCUCUCCACCAAUCUCCUUCUCUCUCUCCUCCAGAUCUCUCGCUCUCUCUCUCUCCUCCAGAUCUCCUACUCACUCUCUCCUCCAGCUCUCUUUCCCUGCUCUCUCUCUUCUCCGCUCUCCUUCUCGCUCUCCCUCUCCUCCAGAUAUUCUCCUCUCUCUUUCAGAUCUCCUCCUCCAGAUCUUCUCCUCUCCUGUAGAUCUCCUCCUCUCUCUCUCUCCUCCAGAUCUCCUCCUCGCUCUUUCUCCUCCAGAUCUCGCUCCUCCUCGCUCUCUCCUCCAGAUUUCCUCCCUUGCCAUCUCACUCCUCCAGAUAUUCGCCUCUCUCUCUCCGCCGGAUAUCGUCCCUCACUCUCUCUCCUCCAAAUUUCCUCCCUCGCCCUCUCUCCUCUGGAUCUCCUCCUCACUCUCCUCCCUUGCUAUCUCUCUCCUCCAGAUAUUCUCCUCUCUCUCCUCCAGAUCUCCUCCCUCGCUCUCUCUCUCUCCUCCAGAUUUCCUCCCUUGCCAUCUCUCUCCUCCAGAUAUUCUCCUCUCUCUCUCCUCCAGAUCACGUCCUCGCUUUCUCUCCUCCAGAUCUCCUCUCUCCUCUCUCGCUAUCUCGCUCCUCCAGAUAUGCUCUCUCUCUCCUCCAGAUCUCCUCCCUCGCCCUCUGUCUCCUCCAGAUCUCCUCCUAGCUCCCUCUCCUUCAGAUCUCCUCCUCACUCUCCUCCCUCGCUAUCUCUCUCCUCCAGAUAUUAUCCUCUCUCUCUCCUCCAGAUCUUCUUCCUUGCUCUCUCUCUCUCCUUCAGAUCUCCUCCUCGCUCUCUCUCGCCUCCUCGCUCUCUCUCCUCCAGAUCUCCUCACUCACCAUCUCUCCUCCAGAUCUCCCUCGCUCUCUCUCUCCUCCCUCAGUCUCUCUCCUCCCUGCUCUCUCUCCUCCCUCACCAUCUCCCCUCCAGAUAUUGUCCUCCAGAUCUCCUCCCUCGCCAUCUCUCCUCCAGAUAUUCUCCUCUCUCCUCCAGAUCUCCUCCCUCGCUCUCUCUCUCCUCCAGAUAUUCUCCUCGCACUCUCGCUCCUCCAGAUAUUUCCCCCUUUGCUCCAGAUCUCCUCUCUCUCUCCUCCAGAUCUCCUCUUGUCCCUCUCCUCCAGAUCUCCUCCUCUCCCUCUCUCUCGCUCAUCCAGAUCUCCUCCUCUCCCUCUCUAUCGCUCCUCCUCCUCUCUCGCUCUCUCCUCCAGAUCUCUUCCUCUCCCUCUCUCCUCCAGAUCUCAUCCUCCUCUCUCUCGCUGUCUUCCUCUCCUUGUCUCUCUCUCCCCUCCAGAUCUCCUCCUCUCUCUUGCUCUCUCCUCCAGAUCUCCUCCUCUGUCGCUUUCGCCUCCAGAAAUCCUCCUCUCACUAUUCUCCACCAGCUCUCCUCCUCUCGCUAUUCUCCUCCAGAUCUCCUCCUCUCACUAUUCUCCUCCAGAACUCCUCCCUCGCUCUCUCUUUCCUCCAGAUAUUCUCCUCGCUCUCUCUCUCCUCCAGAUAUUUUCCUCUCUUUCCUCCAGAUCUCCUCUCUCCCCUCCAGAUCUCUCCCUCCUCCAGAUCUCCUCCUCUCCCUCUCUCUCCUCCUCUCCCUCUCUCCUCCAGAUCUCCUCCUCUCUCUUGCUCUCUCCUCCAGAUCUUCUCCUCUGUCGCUUUCGCCUCCAGACCUCCUCCUCUCACUAUUCUCCACCAGCUCUCCUCCUCUCGCUAUUCUCCUCCAGAUCUCCUCCUCUCACUAUUCUCCUCCAGAACUCCUCCCUCGCUCUCUCUUUCCUCCAGAUAUUAUCCUCGCUCUCUCUCUCCUCCAGAUAUUUUCCUCUCUUUCCUCCAGAUCUCCUCUCUCCCCUCCAGAUCUCUCCCUCCUCCAGAUCUCCUCCUCUCCCUCUCUCUCCUCCUCUCCCUCUCUCCUCCAGAUCUCCUCCUCUCCCUCUCUCCUCCAGAUCUCCUCCUCUCUUGCUAUUCUCCUCCAGAUCUCCUCCUCUCACUAUUCUCCUCCAGAUCUGUUCCUCUCGCUAUUCUCCAGAUCUGUUCCGUCUACGUGGCAUCUAA
Oncorhynchus mykiss (rainbow trout) is the source of this 4392-nucleotide long non-coding RNA. The record is from Ensembl. NCBI's taxonomy places the organism in Eukaryota, Metazoa, Chordata, Actinopteri, Salmoniformes, Salmonidae.